Micropterus salmoides (largemouth bass) is the source of this 387-nucleotide long non-coding RNA. RefSeq lists it as uncharacterized. NCBI's taxonomy places the organism in Eukaryota, Metazoa, Chordata, Actinopteri, Centrarchiformes, Centrarchidae. The transcript has 2 exons. The record is from RefSeq and is a predicted model, not a curated record.
UAGCCAAGAUGGCGACUGUGAGAAGUGUCUAACGUUCCACUCUCAACUUUUUGACUGCUCCAUCCAGGGUCGCCCCUGGGAAAGACAAACAAGAGCAAGUGGAGUUCUGACGAUGAACUUUGUGGCUCUGACAUGAAGUGAAGUAAAGUACAGUAGAGGCUGUAAGAUGUUCCAACUUAAUUGGCUCUUUCAAGAUGGAGCGACUUGCCGGCCGACUGUCCCAGGAAAUCUCCAGGGAAAAAUAAACGAGUCACAGCUGAAAAUAAUCAUGUCUCGUUCAUCUGACCUCGAUUGUUUCAAAGAGUCUUUUUUAAGGUGGUACAACUGGAACUAAAGAGUUUAAAGAUUACUGCAGCAAAGAGAUAAAAUAUUAAAAACUACUAAACU